UUAAUGCAAAACUAGACAACCUUAAAAUACACGAAGUGCAUUUUAUCGAGGCUAUUAUUUAUGUGUUACAGGAAGGUUGGCUGCUGAGGAGUUACUAUGAGGAAGGGCUUGAAGAGUGGUGCUGCUAAUGGUGAGGAGUUCCCCUCAACAGCUUGAGUUAUUGGGAAGGUCACUGGACUCCUCCACUGGAAUCAAGCUUCAUUGAGGAAGCCAGAAAAUCAGUGAGGAAUAAAAAGUUUUCUUGGUGUGGUGGAAUUAUCUUACCAUCCUGGAUCUCUCAAGGCAAAAAGGACGGAGUCUAUGGGAACUCCUGCAGGGCUUCCUUAGGAAUCACAUCAAUGGAAGAGACUGUAGGAAGAAAGAACCUGGAGAAGUUGUGGCAAGUAGAAGGAGAAACGUUAUAUUUUGUAUUAAAAUUGGAAUGAUUUCCAGCACCGCUCUACCUCUGUAGAACUUGAAGCAAUUACAUGUUGAAUCUUACUGAUGUGGGAAGUAGAAGCAGAGCACGACAUAAAACAUCUGAGCUAAUUAGCAAGAGGAAUCUGAGCUAAUUAGCAAGAAGAAGGUGCUGUCAUUCUCUCUCUUCACUACCGUGUGUCUUUUCACUGUUACUCUCCUGUUCUAUUUCCUAGAGAUGCGCUAGUAACAAGUAGUAACUUUAGUUUGCAUUACAUCAUGGAAGAUUCUAAAGCGCAUUAUGGAAAACUCAUUCACUGCUGUUCUUUGCAGUUUAUGGAGCGUGUCAUCUGAGUCGCAGUGUUUUUAAUGAGCAGUGUUGGAUAGGAAGUAAAUGAAAUAUUCUUUUAUAGAAACCUCCAGGGAAAGCUAUAUGGAAGAUUAUAUGUGUUAGAAUUUGGAUCGGAGCUUGGAUUUGCAGAAUUUCAAAGCCAAGAUGAUCUAUAUAGUCUAAUCUUCUGUAUAACACAGGCCAUAGAAUUUCACCCAGUAAUUUCUGCAUAAAGAUUAUAAUUAGUUGCUGAGCUAAGGUAGCUUUUUUAGAAAGACUGUCUUGGAUUAAAGAUUUCAAAUGAUAGAGAACAUACCACAUCCCAAAGUCAGGCAGUUUUUUCCCUUCCCCUCAAAGCAAAACAUAAGUGUGUCUUUUAUGUAUUGAACUGAACUCUUUUGUUGAGGUAGUCAUCUUGAAGACAGCAUCCACAGGCAAUAGCACACCUGCCACACACACAAAAGCAUGUUUUAAGCAUAAAAACUGGUGAAUGGAAGACCAUAAAAUUAAAGCAACAUUCUGUUCUCUGUCUCUGUUCAUACACCUUUGAAAGUUCCUUUGUUCCAUGAGGAACCGGUAGGGUUGUACAGCUCUGCAGCUCUUUUUAAGAAGGUUCUCUAGCAUUAUCUUGGUUUCUGGAGUUGCUCCUCUCAUUCUUCAGUGGGAAUGAAGAGAGGAAAUAUUACUAUACAGCCUAAAAAAAUCUGUUUUUUUUUUUUUAACCACUCCAAAUUUAUGUAUUCAGGUCAAAUUAUCACAGCUCUUUCUUAAAGUUUGUCUUGUUUUACUGAUUCAGUAUCUGCAUUUUAUAAACGAUAUUUUUUGGUUGUUGCUGAAGAACACAAGUUUGUUAGUUUUCUGUGACAGAAGACAAAUGUGUUGUAAUUCAUGCUGCCUGAAAUCGUGCUUUCCUAACUAUAUUUAAAGUAUUUUAUUUCAGAGAGGUGUUCCAAACAAUGAACAAAUUGCAUAUGUUGAGUAUGAUAUCCUUGGGAAAAACAAACUCAACUCAUUUGAACCCAUGAAAAACUAAGCACUUGAGGUUAAGCCAUAAAAUGUGGCAAGACGUUUCCGACCAUGCUAAACCACUGGACAAUUAGGUAUGCAGGCAAUAGGUGUUUGUUUGCUCCCACGGGUACUGAAAGCAUUCUGAAUUCCUCAGGACUUCAAAUAUUAUGUUAUAAAAUGUUAAACCAAUACCUUUAGGACAAAAACAGAAUCCAACACAUGCCACCUAGAUUAUUUAAAGGUUGAAAAAUAAAAAGUAAUAAAAAAAUAAUAAUAAUAAUAAA
This 2019-nucleotide long non-coding RNA is filed under the name Coturnix japonica (Japanese quail). Its description in RNAcentral is "lncRNA (ENSCJPG00005006088.1)". The record is from RNAcentral. Lineage: Eukaryota; Metazoa; Chordata; Aves; Galliformes; Phasianidae.